GUGCCAGCCGCCGCGGUAAUACAGAGGUCUCAAGCGUUGUUCGGAUUUAUUGGGCGUAAAGCGUGCGUAGGCGGCGGGGUAAGUGAGGUGUGAAAUCCCAGGGCUUAACCCUGGAACUGCACUUUAUACUGCCUUGCUCGAGGGCUGGAGAGGAGACUGGAAUUUACGGUGUAGCAGUGAAAUGCGUAGAGAUCGUAAGGAAGACCAGUGGCGAAGGCGAGUCUCUGGAAAGCUGCUGACGCUGAGGCACGAAGGCCAGGGGAGCAAACGGGAUUAGAUACCCCCGUAGUCC
This 292-nucleotide ribosomal RNA is filed under the name uncultured bacterium. RNAcentral describes it as "partial 16S ribosomal RNA". It matches the Rfam family "Bacterial small subunit ribosomal RNA", at positions 505 to 796 of the family's 1533-position model. The record is from RNAcentral.